Molecule: ribosomal RNA, 670 nt
Filed under: uncultured fungus
Lineage: Eukaryota; Fungi
Description: eukaryotic LSU rRNA
Rfam family: Eukaryotic large subunit ribosomal RNA
Source: RNAcentral
ACCCGCUGAACUUAAGCAUAUCAAUAAGCGGAGGAAAAGAAACUAACAAGGAUUCCCCUAGUAACGGCGAGCGAAGAGGGAAGAGCCCAAGAUUGAAAGCUGGCGUCUUCGGCGUCCGCAUUGUAAUCUCAAGAAGUGUUUUCCGCUUCGGACCAAGCCUAAGUCCCUUGGAAAAGGGCAUCAUAGAGGGUGAUAAUCCCGUACAUGGCUUGGAGCGCCCGAAGCUUUGUGAUACGCUUUCUAAGAGUCGAGUUGUUUGGGAAUGCAGCUCAAAAUGGGUGGUAAAUGCCAUCUAAGGCUAAAUAUUGGGGAGAGACCGAUAGCGAACAAGUACAGUGAUGGAAAGAUGAAAAGAACUUUGAAAAGAGAGUUAAACAGUACGUGAAAUUGCCAAAAGGGAAGGGUAGGAGGUCAGAGAUGCGGCCUGGGAUUCAGCCUUGCUUUUGCUUGGUGUUUUUCCCAGAUUGCAGGCCAACGUCGGUUUUGGGCACUGGAGAAGGGUAGGAGGAACGUGGCACCUCUCGGGGUGUGUUAUAGCCUCCUUACUGGAUACAGCGACCGAGACCGAGGACAGCAGCGUACUCGCAAGAGCGGGCCUUCGGGCACCUUUACGCUUAGGGCGUUGGCAUAAUGGCCCUCUACCACCCGUCUUGAAACACGGACCAAGGAG